ACCUGGAGAUGACAAAUCAAAAUAUGCUAAGGUUUACUCUCCUUUAAAAUAUCCAUAGUUGUAAAAUCUUUUAACUUGACAGCAUAUGAGGCAAAGCACAACAUAGAUAGUAAUUAUACAGUUUGUGUAUGGGGAAAAGAGCAACUAAAGUAGCCACUUGCCAGUAGCUAGGGAAAUAAAACAAAAUUUGGCAAUUUUAUAAAUCCA
RNAcentral lists this unclassified non-coding RNA (207 nucleotides) under Hevea brasiliensis (rubber tree). The record is from RNAcentral. Lineage: Eukaryota; Viridiplantae; Streptophyta; Magnoliopsida; Malpighiales; Euphorbiaceae.